Molecule: long non-coding RNA, 8977 nt
Organism: Cuculus canorus (common cuckoo)
Lineage: Eukaryota; Metazoa; Chordata; Aves; Cuculiformes; Cuculidae
Exons: 3
Source: RefSeq, a predicted model, not a curated record
CAGACAGCAGGCUGAGGGUGCACAAGAAGCUGGGAGGGGACACAGCCGGGACACCUGACCCCAACCGACCAAAUGGAUACUCUAUACCAUAUGACAUCACGCUCAGCACGUAGAGCUACAGGAAGAAGAAGGAAGGUGGAGAUCGAUGGAGUGGAAUUCAAAUGGAUGACCAACAUUUUGCACCUUCCAAGCCCUGGGACCACAACACAAUGUACGUGGGAACCACAGCAGAAGAUCCAGCUGGCAGAAACGCACAGACCAGUCUCACUGCAUGAAUGCUUCAUCCAGUUGCUCUUGCUGUCCUGUGGCUUAAAGGGAAUAUCAUAUUGGAGCAUUGAUUUGAUCUUCAAGGGCUGGACCAUGCAAGAUGCAAAGCAAGCCAGGACACUUCCUCUUCAACACUGAAGCAAAUGAAUUUUAAAUUCAGGUGCAUAUUUAAUUGCCCAGCAUGGAGGUCAGAGAGCUCAACAACGUUGGAGAUGGCCAUCACAGCAUCAGAUGGGUUGUGAGGACACUUAUACUAAUUUCAUUCUCAGACCUCUAAAGUAAAUCUUCAUUUUUUCAGUUUCUAUUUAGAUCAACAUUCAAAGACACGAAAACUGAUGAUGAAUAGACUAAAAUUUGAGCUAGAGUCUAAGCCAAUAGUUCAAUGAAGACACAGUUCAAGACAGCCGUACCACUCACUCACCUGUGUCCAUUCGUCAGCCAAAAAGGAGCCAGAGGACUGUGUCUUCAGUCUGCUGUUUUUUUGUCCUCCAUCAGGCCUUUGCAAGUCAUGCCAGUAAAUGUGGUCCCCAAACCACAACAUCUUAAAGAGAAAGCUAUUCCCAGGGCAUCUUUUGGAAGCAGCAAAGUUGCAGCUUUAGAUUGAUGUUCAUUUUUAUUUUGCGAUCACAGCUAAUAAAAAGAAAUUAAUAGAAACAUAGUCAGAUCCAAAAGUUUAUUAGAAAAGAGGCAUUGUAGUUUAAUUAUGCCACAGUGUUGUGUACGAGACAAAGCCCACUGAAAUCUGAAUACUUGAUGAUCUCUGGAAUUUGACUAAGAGCUCUUUGGCCUUAGGGAGAAACUUGACAAUUACUAAUCUACAUAUGCUGACAAUCUCUACAUAUCAGGGGCCUCAUGAGGGUCUUUAAUUGCUCUGUAAACUUCAAACUGGAGUGUUCUUCAGUAGGAAAAAACAAGAUGCUGCAUUCAAGCUAAAGAAGAGUGGUAGUUAACAUGUUUAUUAAAUACCUCCAGGCCUCGUAGGACUGCAGGGUGGAGGCAGAAGAAGUUAGAAAUGCAGCAUCAGAUUUAUUCAAGGCAGAACAAUUAUGCAUGUUCGGGUGCAACAGUGGCAUGAUGGAUCCAGGAAAAAAAUUCAGCGAAAGUGUUUCCACAAUUCCAAACCAUGUUUCUAUUCUUUUGCUUGCACAGCUCUUUUCGGCACAUUUCAUGGAGCUUUAAGACUGUGCACACAAAAUGUCUGCAUCAUUCGAAUGGAAGUGAGCAGUGGAUUUUAUAAGUUGAAGACCUGAGAUUUUUCAAAAGCAAAAUCUGUGAUGUUUGUCUUAGAGUUGCAUAAUGUAGGGCAGUGAGGUUUGUGUAUUUGGCAGGAGAGGGAUGUCUAUCCUCCAAGAUAUUUUCAGUACAGGUCCUAUUUUCAGAAAUUUUAGUAGAUCUGUCUCAAAAUGUAGCUGCAGAAAAUUGACUGUUUCAUAUGAGACCUAACAGCUUCAUAUUCCUUCCCUCUAACUUACGGUUUGACUCACACUUCGAUGAUUAAGUCUACCUGUGUUAUGGACAGCACAGAAGAUUAUUCUGGCUCAUUCGUCCGUUGCUGUAUUGACUUGAUGAUGUCAGGUUUGAUGUUUACAUUGCACAUUAUCAACAUAAUUGCCAAGCAAAUUCUGAUUGCUUCAUUUAUCAUUUUAUUUCUCUGUAAAUCGGGAAUGUCUAGAGCUAUCUUUCCACUGCUGUGAGGGUUCACUCUCCCUGCAAAACUGGCCACAGCGCACAGAGGCAGAAGUAACACCAACCCCUCCAGAAGCUGCUUGAUACAGCAGCAUCGGUCUUGGCAAGGGGUUUUUCAAAGUGCUUUGUCAUUUCUGGGGAGCAGAAGGAAUAGACGGAGCUUGGAAUGCACCCUGAUGGGAUGUGCAGCACUCGCCAUUAGAAGAACACCUUGCCUUGCAAUGAAGUUGAUCAGGAAGUAAUUGAAGGGAAUAAAUGUGGAAAUUCUCAGUGCCAACUCCAUCCUGGGCUCUAAUGACACAAUCCAAACCCUUGAAUUUGGGAAGAGAGGAAGUUAUCGGCAUAACACGUUAAACAACCUUAACUCCAGUGAGCAAUGGCACCACUAUAACACUUGUUUAUUAGCAAAAUGCAUCUGAUCUCAAACGCCUGCAUGACAAGUUCAUUACAUAUCAAUUUAAUUAGCUGAUUUACAUUUAAUUUACAUUUCAAUUAAUGUCUUUAGCAACAAAACGUUGCCUUAAUAGGGUAAUUGCCUGUUAGGCAAUAUGUAAAAGAAUAAAUAGUCACAUUCUGAGGAAGAAUUCCUAUUUUCAAUUUUUUAUUACCAUAAAUAACCUAAAUAAUUAUUGCUCUUAAGGGGCCACAUCCCAGUUCCCUUCUGGGCCUAAUUAUAAAGACUUAGUACCUCAUUAAGCAAAAUGGUUUCCGAGUCACAGAAAAGCAUUACUCUAAUCGUGACUCAUUAGUUUCGACAAAAGAGGGGGAAACUGCAAAAGUCGGCACAUUUCGCCAUAUUAUUCUUGUGGUUCAUAAGCAGCAGCACAUCUGAGAAGUGGCUGCUACAGCUGUGUAGGUGUUUCUGUCACGAAGCCCUGUUUUCAGAGGCAAGCAGGGGGAUGUAACUUUGGUCAUUAAGAGAGAGCCAUGUCCAACUGGAAAAGCUGGCACGUGCGCCCCUGGCACGGAGCAAGAAGCCUGAGUAAACUUUUCUGUUCCCUGAGAGCUCAUCUUUUUCCCAGGCACCACACACACGCUGGUGGUGAUUUAGGACCCAUCUUCUUCUAUCAUGCCACAAGGGUUGGUUUCAUCACUUAUUAUAUCCCACUGCAUAGAAAAUGGGUGGUUAAAUCAGCAGCAUAGAAAUCUUAAAUGAUGUUUUGUAUCUCAGAGCUGUAAGGAGAACCCCUACCCUCAUGGUCCAGCCAUUCUCCUUUAAUGUCUACUGAAGUUAAUAACGGCUCUAGUGCAUUUUGGAACUCGUCUUCAAGGCAAAGGUCUUCAGACAACACAUGACUGCGAUGCAAACACCGCCCCAUAGGGUGCCAGAUUCUGACCUGGUGUAACUCACCCAACUCCAGAAAAUUCAUCUGGACUAUGUGCCUGGGAAAAUUCAUUGCAAGAGACUGGGUAAGUUCUAGUUCCUUAUUACUUAUUUUCCUGUAGGGGGAUGCUGUAUGUAUAUAUCAACUGGACAAUGAAAACAAAAUCAGGUGUGAGUCACUUUCUUCUAGCACUAAAUGUACCUUUCCACUGGGAUAAGGAAAACAGUGCUGUCUUUAUAGAGAAAGAAAUAGAGAGAGGGAGAAGACUCUGCUUGCAAACAAAAAUGUCUUAUUACCUUCUGAAGUUAAUUGCUUAGGACUCAGAUGUAUAUCUCCUGGUAUUCUAUAUUUUAUUUUUGCUCCUACACUUGAUGGAUCUGGAAUUCUCUUCCGAGCUGCUAACUCUAUUUUUGCUUUUUAAAGCUCAUUUAAAACCUCUCCUGCUUUCCUGUGCCUGUGAUUAACACUAACCCACUCUACCCUUUCUUUUCCUGCAGCUUUUAUAUUCACCCCUUGCUGCAGACUGCAAGAAUUCUAAUUGGCAUCUGCUCUUCCUUUUGGGUUUCCAUUUUUUUCUUUCUUCCUGCUCCAUUUUCUCUCUGUUGCUAUCUGGGCUGCUCUGUGCCAUCCUGUUAUACUUUCUAGCCCAGAUCUGCCUAGUACUGUAAAGGAUUUGAUGAUUUUCUUUAGGAAGGACUCUAAUAAUAGCCACAAUCCUGCCCCUUUGAAAAUCUUCCUUACAAUGAAAAAAAUAUGUCCUGCCCUCCAGAGUGAAUUCCAUUGAAAUCCGAAAGUUCUUGUUAAAAAAAAAAAAAAUCCCUCUCUAUUCCUGAUGGAUUGGAGAAAUUUUAAAGGAGUAAUGUUAUAAUUUACGGGGAAUUUGAACAUAGAUCUCAGAGCUCCCUUUUUAAACAGGGUAACUUCAGGCUAUUACUUAAAGAAAGCGUUUCGGUUUUCUUCUCUAAUACAAUAACAAGCUACAAUUUAUAACAGGAAAACAAGCCAGCCAGAAAGUCCUUGAGGUUCUCUAGUGACUUCACUGUUGUCAAUCAAAUUAACAUGGAAGAUGCUCCAAUACUGCUACUUUAAUGGGCAGAAGGACAAAACUCCUGACAUACUGCAGAGAGGCUUUUGAAAAACAAGCAGCUAGAUGCCAUCUGAGCUGGAUGAGGCUAACAGAAGGCAGAGCCUAGGACUAUAAUGGGAUGUGAUGGAUUUUGAGCUUUAAGUGCCAUUUUCAGGUGGUCUUUGCCAAAACUGUGAUUUCUCAGCCCCCUGUUCAGCUGCUGCCUCAGCCUGGCUGCCCAGAGGUGAAGCUCUUCCCCAUGAAGACUGGUGUCUGACGCUCGCUUCCUGGCAUGCUCAGAAGUAGCUCAGUUAAGACAAUUCUGACAAGCUUGGAACCUCGCCGUGCCUCUGCCUUAAGGGCCUCAGAAGCCAACGCUCCCUGCUGCCCUCCCAGCAUCUCCUUUGGCAACACCAGGUGCUGCAAUGCAGGAGCUCCGAAACAAGUUGUUCAGAAUCCUCUCCUCAGGUCUCUGCUCAGUAAGCAGUAUUUUACCAUUCACUUUAACGUGCUUUACAGAGUUGCAGCGUUUAAAGACAGAACAUAGGUUUAGACUGUUCAGGUAGUCUCCUAUGCAUCACAGACCAUUAAAUACUGUUAGCACCCUUCUUUUCAUUUGACUAAACUAUGUUUUAUUUUGACAAAAGUAUUUCUUUAGUCAGCUCCUCAUUUUCCUUUGGUAUUGUCAGAAAAAUGGAGAAGUCACUUUCCCUUCAACAGCUUGCGUCAGAGGUUACUCACCUUCUCUGCUACCAUAUAAAGCCCAAUAUCUAAUACAAAUUUUUCUGGCUUCAGCUUCUAGCGGCUGCCUCUUGGUGUGCUUUUCCCAGUUAUAUUAAAGAACCAUACAGUAUCCUGCAUUUUUCAACGUGAUACUACCCACUGUAAUUGUCUUGGCCCUCUGUUCAGGCCACGGUGCUCUCAGUGCUGCAGCUAAAGCCAUCAUGGCUAAGCUCCCAUGAGCAGCAGUUCUUUAAUAGAGAAUACAGAAUACAGAUGCCUUUUUGAACACUUCCAAGCCAGUUGCCCUGAAUUCCUGCAGGACCAUAGUCAUUGACUCUGGAAUGGUAGAAGAAUGGACAGGAAUAUUUGGUAGGUAAUUUCUGCUUCCUCCAUGACCAUCAUCUUCAAUUGCUUUGCCAACCUGAUAAUAUUCUUUUCUUUGCUUUUUAAAUACAAAGCUGUACAUACAUAAGGAAUAAAAAGCUCUAAUUUAUUCUGCAAAAGUGUUCAUCAAGUGAGAGACAGGACUCUGGGAAAAGAUUAAGAGCUUACAUUUUUCAUUUGACUUAUUUCACAUAAAAUUUCAUAGAGGAUAAAAUGAUGGGAGGCAAAGAAGCAAUGAUAUUUCUGUUUUAUCUCUGUCUAAGGACCAUAAAUCUUUCUGAAGUAUCAUUAAUUAUAGCAGCGCUAUUCACAACGCUAUUGUUAAGGGUCUAUCAGCACUCCCAUUAUAAACCCCUAUUUUCAGAGGUUUAUAACGUGGUUAGAAGAAUUUUGUUUCAUGCAAAAACUUUGCUGGGGCUCCAUCUAAGAUGAUUUUUUUUAAAUGUAAAACACAAAGGGAAGUGUUACCUCUUUUGGUACUAAGGGAGAGCCCAGGAACUUUCUACGGGUACAAAGCUAAUGCUCUUUUGGCUGAUUGUAUCUGUAACAUUUCUGAAUUCAUAGAACUGUAUUCACAGAAGUUCUCUCUUAGAUGAAUUUAGACCAUUGCUUUAAAAUGCAAGUUUUCAAUUACUAUAACUGAAUUCAAGAACUGGAACAUUCCUCUAGUGGCUGUAAUCAAAUCAUAUUAGAUUCCUUCUCUAGCUACAGUCAGUCAAGAAAGAGUUUAGCAGACCUGAAAAAGAGCUUACACAUUAAAAAAACUUUCGGUGUCUUUAGGUAGCAUGCUUUUUUCUUUGUUGCAGACACAACAUACACUAAGAAUCAGUGAAGUCACUGGUCACAUCCACCAAAGCGAGUCUUGGCUUAAGAGCAAUACAGAGGAAUUGCUCUGUCAUGGCUGAGCGAUGCUGAAAUUUUCGGAGAGACAUUUGAGUUUCUCCAGAUGUGCAGUGAAAGAUGCUCUUCAACAGACACUAGCGAGACUAAGAGCACACAGGGAAGAAAGGUUGCUGCUUUGCCUACAUAACAACACGACCGGAUAGCCUUUUGUCUGUAGCAACUUGUAAGAUUCAUCAAGGAAGCCUGAGAGCUCUGCUCAGCUGUGUCCUUGCAUGCUAGAAAAGAGCAAGACGCUCAAUAUGACAGGAUCGACAAAAUCAUUGUGGCCUUUUUCUAAAGCAAUAGAUAUUAAUGAAUGCUAACUUCUAGGCAACUUUUCUCCUGGUUUAAAGUAAAAAGAUUAGAUGAAAACGUAUUUUGUGAAGAGUGUGCUGACACCCUCAGGUAAUCUCCAUCCUCUGUCCUCAUCAAUAAUCUAACACUCAACCUUCCACGUUACAUUACUGUCUGCAGUAACACAAUUCACUUUGGUCCCCUUAGAUCCCCUCCUUAAAAACUCUCAUAUUACGAAAUUCUUCCAGCUCUGCUCUACAGCAUACUGGGGUUGUUUAGUCCUAACUUAUGCUUGCUGUUUUCCUUGACUAUGAAUUCUUUACACAGGAACUGACUUUUGUGAAUUGCACUUUUAACCUAGCAGUGAGUGAAAAGAUCAAAAUAACACAUGUGGGUAUUGCCUUAUGUGGUCUCUAAAGAGCUCCAAUUCUGCUUUAAACACUGUUUAAUGUAUCUUGUGAUAAUGAGUUCCACUAUCUAACGUACUUUCUUCUAUCAGUUUUGAUUGUGCUGUCUUUUAAUUUCACUGCAUGUGUCCUUUGAAAGGAUAAAUAGGCAUGGGUAAAUAGAAGAAAGCAUUUGUACAUAUUAUUCAGUCCUGUAUGUACCUUUUUCUGUGUUACAUCUUAUUUUUCUCCUCUCCAAAGUAAAACAAUAUUAAUAUAUUGUUUGUUUAUCUUUUCCAAUAUGGAAAUCUUUCCAUAUCUCUUAAUUUGUUGCUGUUAUUUGAGAAGAUCUCUUCCUUUAAUACUCUACAGUUACUAAUGACAAGGCAAUCAUACGGAGUAAUGAUAUCUAAAUAAAGGGCUCGAUGUGCAGUAAGACAGAGGUCUCUUUUGGCUGCCCCAUCAACACCAGGCCCUUCUCAUAAGAACUGCAGUGGAGGAUGGAAAAAUGUGGAAAGCUCCUUUAUUUCCUUCAUUCUUAUUGCCAGAAUAAUUGUGCAAUGUCACUUUGCACCCAGUGUAAUGCUCCCUAAGAUUAACAGGAAAAACAUUCUCAGCUUCUUAGCAGAAAAUGAAUCUCUGACAAACUCAGUGAUGUUACUUCCUCUCUGAUCUCUGGUCUUAUCUGAUCUAAUUUUGCUUGAUCUACAGUAUUAUUUAGAUUCUGAACUUUAGAACACCCACUGUUAGCAAGCCUGACUCUUCCUGUUUCUCCCACUUUACUUAUUCUGUAGCAUAUUUCAAUAUACUGAGACUCCUUCUAGCCCUACCACCAUAAGCACUGCAACACUAUGGUAUAAAUCUUGUGAUAAUUACCUCAAACCAGUGCAACCUCACUCUUUUGAUAGUUACUCCUGGUUUGCAAUGGUAGAAACAUGAGCAGAAUUGCAUAUUUUGAUGACACCAGGCUUCUUGCAUAGCAGGCAUGGCAGAGCAGCUGGAGGACAGAAAACCAGGAAGAUUUUAAAUGGAGGAGAUUGCAAAAACCUCAACAUAAAGCAGAGCUGUCAUCCAGGCUCUUUUAUUACAUGGCACUAAGUAUAAGUAGCAUUACAAGAAGAUUUACUUUUGUAAAAGCAAAGGAAUUAAUGCGCUUUCACAGCAGGGAAACUUUACAGCAGUUAAGACCUCAGGUCUAUUAAAGUAGCAGACAUUUCUCGUGGCUUUGCUUAUUAGCAAAAGGAUUUGUGCAAAAAGUCAAGGUUUCCCCUUUCCGUCCCCCAAAUUCCUGCAUCAUUAUUCCUGUAGUACAAAUGUAAGACUAAAUCAUCCAUUUCAGCAUAACAAGAAGGACCAGAUGGAUCUCACACCACUGCAGAAAGGGCUGGAUAGGCAAAACACUGCAACAACAGCCUUUCUUUCCAAGGCCCAGCGGGGCGAAGCAGCAGAAACUCUGCAGACCAGAAGGACGGAGAAGCAUCUCUGUGCAGAGAGCAUAACUCUCUAGUCUACUACAGAGUCUCCCUGAUUUGCCAGGGAAAAACACUGAAAUUCAUCACUGCCUUAUCACUUCAGAGAAGCUUUCUGUCCUGCCUCGUGCUCCCUUUUCAAGGGUUAUAAAGUCCUUCUGUUCCAGGGCACUGCACAUGGAUAUUAAAUUUUCAUCACAAGCAUGAUGCCAUUUUUGAUUUCAGCAUUUAUCUGUCUUCUGUUCUUAUAUGGCCACACUUACCAUAAUAUCUCAUACUUCACAAUCUUUAACACAUUAUUUAUCCCUCCAAAAAGCAUGCAUAUGAAAAGUACCUGAAAAUAAGCAAUAAAACAUUUUAAUACUGUCACCAUCUGAGGCUAUGGAUCUUUGAGAAUUUUAUUUUCAUUAACUCUGGAAUGCUAUUCAUAACCUUGAGAAUGAUAACGCAUAGAAAAUGACUUUAUCCAAGUGUCAAAUGCUCCUCAAUAUAUGU